This 366-nucleotide unclassified non-coding RNA is filed under the name soil metagenome. Its description in RNAcentral is "partial contains 5.8S ribosomal RNA, internal transcribed spacer 2, and large subunit ribosomal RNA". The stretch from base 1 to 120 matches the Rfam family "5.8S ribosomal RNA", at positions 35 to 154 of the family's 154-position model. The record is from RNAcentral.
GAUGAAGAACGUAGCGAAAUGCGAUAAGUAGUGUGAAUUGCAGAAUUCAGUGAAUCAUCGAAUCUUUGAACGCACAUUGCGCCCCCUGGUAUUCCUGGGGGCAUGCCUGUUCGAGCGUCAUUAACAACCAAUCGGGCGGGGCUUUUGCAUGCUCCCGCUCGGCCAUGGGGGAUGGACGUCGUCGGACGCCCACCCCCGAAAUGCAACGGCGGACGGCCACCCGUGGCACUGCGGCGUAGUAAGUUAACCCUUCGCGCGCGCCCACGGAGUGGACUGCCCGGCCGCUUGAACCCCCACACAUCCUACGGUUGACCUCGGAUCAGGUAGGGAUACCCGCUGAACUUAAGCAUAUCAAUAAGCGGAGGA